This is a non-coding RNA of Canis lupus familiaris (dog), 104 nucleotides long. Lineage: Eukaryota; Metazoa; Chordata; Mammalia; Carnivora; Canidae. The record is from Rfam.
AGGAGGAACAACCGCAGUGGCGGGGCCAGCUCUUAGCUCUGGAUUCAGCCCCCGCAGUAACUCCAGAGCUCUCGGUCUGCAGGGCCUGGAUGCUCCAGGGCGGG